Tripterygium wilfordii is the source of this 147-nucleotide small nucleolar RNA. RefSeq annotates it as small nucleolar RNA snoR145. Lineage: Eukaryota; Viridiplantae; Streptophyta; Magnoliopsida; Celastrales; Celastraceae. The record is from RefSeq and is a predicted model, not a curated record. The transcript has a single exon.
GUGCGAAGGUCCCAGCGGAGAGGUGGAGUAAUCUUUCAAUUGAGAUCUCUCCAACAAUUUGAAUUUUUCCUUCGCAAAUUGAUAUCCGAAUCGUAGGAUGCCCUUAAUUCUAUUGUUGGAGUGUCUUGAACCCUCGGAUACAUUCUU